This 72-nucleotide antisense RNA is filed under the name Amycolatopsis tolypomycina. RNAcentral describes it as "ASpks TB sRNA". It matches the Rfam family "ASpks TB sRNA". The record is from RNAcentral. Lineage: Bacteria; Bacillati; Actinomycetota; Actinomycetes; Pseudonocardiales; Pseudonocardiaceae.
CUUCACCGAGCCGAGCCACAGCGGCUCGCCCGCCCGGUCCUUGCCGUAGGUGGCCAGCAGCGCGCCGGUCUC